GUCUCUGCGUGUCUCUACAUGUCACUGCAUGUCUCUACGUGUUGCUGUGUGUGUCUCUACAUAUCUCUACGUGUCUCUACGUGUCACUGCAUGUCUCUACGUGUCCCUGUGUGUCCCUGCGUGUCUCUACGUGUCGCUGCCUGCUGGACUGGGCAUGAAGCUGAAGUGCAGCAUGUGACGUUUGUGCUGAAGUGUUUGUGUGCAGCUGAGGGGGAGAAGCUGGCACUGAGGGAGAAGAAAGCCUUUUGAAAGAGCAGUGAGUCUGCAGAAGCCAGUGCCGUUCAGCACGUACGCCCCAGCGAGGCCAGGGAGGACCAGGACCAGAUCCAGGUCCCUCCUUAGUGAGCCCGGGGAGGACCAGGACCAGAUCCAGGUCCCUCCUUAGUGAGCCCGGGGAGGACCAGGACCAGAUCCAGGUCCCUCCUUAGUGAGCCCGGGGAGGACCAGGACCAGAUCCAGGUCCCUCCUUAGUGAGCCCGGGGAGGACCAGGACCAGAUCCAGGUCCCCCCUUAGUGAGCCCGGGGAGGACCAGGACCAGAUCCAGGUCCCCCC
Molecule: long non-coding RNA, 553 nt
Organism: Acanthochromis polyacanthus (spiny chromis)
Lineage: Eukaryota; Metazoa; Chordata; Actinopteri; Pomacentridae
Exons: 3
Source: RefSeq, a predicted model, not a curated record